AGCGAACGCUGGCGGCAGGCCUAACACAUGCAAGUCGAACGAACCUUUCGGGGUUAGUGGCGGACGGGUGAGUAACACGUGGGAACGUGCCUUUAUGUUCGGAAUAACUCAGGGAAACUUGUGCUAAUACCGAAUGUGCCCUUCGGGGGAAAGAUUAAUCGCCUUUAGAGCGGCCCGCGUCUGAUUAGCUAGUUGGUUGAGGUAAUGGCUCACCAAGGCGACGAUCACUAGCUGGUCUGAGAGGAUGAUCAGCCACAUUGGGACUGAGACACGGCCCAAACUCCUACGGGAGGCAGCAGUGGGGAAUCUUGCGCAAUGGGCGAAAGCCUGACGCAGCCAUGCCGCGUGAAUGAUGAAGGUCUUAGGAUUGUAAAAUUCUUUCACCGGGGACGAUAAUGACGGUACCCGGAGAAGAAGCCCCGGCUAACUUCGUG
Molecule: ribosomal RNA, 434 nt
Filed under: uncultured bacterium
Lineage: Bacteria
Description: partial 16S ribosomal RNA
Rfam family: Bacterial small subunit ribosomal RNA
Source: RNAcentral